This 281-nucleotide ribosomal RNA is filed under the name Staphylococcus aureus. RNAcentral describes it as "partial 23S ribosomal RNA". It matches the Rfam family "Bacterial large subunit ribosomal RNA", at positions 1447 to 1723 of the family's 2925-position model. Lineage: Bacteria; Bacillati; Bacillota; Bacilli; Caryophanales; Staphylococcaceae. The record is from RNAcentral.
CCUAUAAUCGUUUUAAUCGAUGGGGGGACGCAGUAGGAUAGGCGAAGCGUGCGAUUGGAUUGCACGUCUAAGCAGUAAGGCUGAGUAUUAGGCAAAUCCGGUACUCGUUAAGGCUGAGCUGUGAUGGGGAGAAGACAUUGAGUCUUCGAGUCGUUGAUUUCACACUGCCGAGAAAAGCCUCUAGAUAGAAAAUAGGUGCCCGUACCGCAAACCGACACAGGUAGUCAAGAUGAGAAUUCUAAGGUGAGCGAGCGAACUCUCGUUAAGGAACUCGGCAAAAU